Long non-coding RNA from Eublepharis macularius, 1169 nucleotides. RefSeq lists it as uncharacterized. The transcript has 4 exons. Lineage: Eukaryota; Metazoa; Chordata; Lepidosauria; Squamata; Eublepharidae. The record is from RefSeq and is a predicted model, not a curated record.
AAUGGAUUGUCCCGACGCGGAGCACCUCGGGAGCUGAGCAGAGAGGGGCGGUCUCUUUCCUCGUGGCGCGGUUGUAGGUGGCCGUUGAGACGCAAGCAGAGUCCGUGCAAAGUUUUGGAUGGCAGAUGUUAUGUCUCAGAAUAUAGCAGCACAGUGGAAGGUAGCUAGGCAUGUCUUCCGAGGACUUUGGAAGAUGCAAGGGCCCUUGUAGACAAGUCGACCAUAUUCUGUCCUGUGUCGAUCUGCUGUUUAGAGAGAUGGACUGCUGCCUCCUGGAUGACUUUGGCUAAGGCUUUUUGAUCCUGGGUGAAUCACACAAGGGAUACAAGAGGCCCAGAGAUGAAGAGUUCACUACAAUCAAUCCUCUCCGAUUGGUGGUGAAAGAGAAACUGAGGGUUGGGAUGUCUCCUUUCCCAGAGUGCAGGCUGUUUGUGUAGGAAACAGCUGUGCAGAGCUCCUCAGCCCAGUCAGCUCUUAAAGUACAUAGCCCAAGAAGAGCAAAAUACAUUAAUUGCUUCUGUGGUGGGAAGCCCUGGGCACCUGAAGGAAGACGGCCAAAGGCUGUAUGCUGAGAAAAAGCUGGAACUUCAGCAGCAGUUUAAACACAAACAAUCAGGGAUGUGAAGCCCUUUGCAGAAUCCCACAGAAUACAGACAAAAAUCAGCAUAUGAAAAAUCAGUGGGAGCGAUGUUUUAACGUAAUGCAAACAAAUUAGUUUUACUGAUGGUAUUUGGACCCAGGUGCUAGUAGUCACAUGUCUAACAUUAGAGAUUUCAUCCUGUAAUUAAAUUGAAAGUGUGGAUUUUCCUAGCCAAUAGGCAAGUAAGGUGGGUUUUAGGAGCGAAUUCCCCCCCCCCCCCCGGGAAAGAGAGUACAAAAAGUGCCUGCAGCAGUUUUGCUGGGCUACUGUGGCAAGUUCUUAGGACAGUUGGGACAGAGGAUCAUGGGUGCCAGGCUCUCUUCCCUCCUAGACACUGGGCGCCCAUCUCAAGCGAGAGGUUAAUCAGGUGCUUUGUAGUAAUCCUUGAAGUGUCAGAUAGUGGCAACUGCUUUUAUUUUCUUUUGUACAGCUGCAAACCUUUGAUGCAAAAUCUGUUUUCCCUAACUUGUGUGCUGUUUAUAACCUGUAGUUUUAGUAGUUCAAUAAAGACCUUUCUUGAUUAAGAAAA